CAGACAACCCCAAAGACUGAAGUCCUCUCUUUAAUCCACAGAACAGGUGCAGCAUAGGCAGUGGCAGUGUCAGCUUUCCCCUCAUAGACCUGCCAAUGCGCCCCUGGAGGGACAUCCUUUAGAAGAAAGAAGGUAGAUUAGCUUCCAUGGCCCAUUCUAGCUCUGCUCUCU
RNAcentral lists this small RNA (171 nucleotides) under Chrysemys picta bellii (western painted turtle). RNAcentral describes it as "TUC338 (ENSCPBG00000014869.1)". The record is from RNAcentral. Lineage: Eukaryota; Metazoa; Chordata; Testudines; Emydidae.